UGUAUAAUUGUUACAAAUUCAAUUCUAAAUAAGUAUCACAAACAUUUUAAUGUUGAUAUUGAUAAUAUUUUUAACAUAAUACUUCAGUUACAAUAAUAAUUCUUUAUUUGAAUUACCACUAAAAAUCUACUAGUACAAGUACUAUCUUAAAAAGUGAAAAUUAAUUCAAUUUAUUAAAAUUUAAAAAUGAAAAUCUAAAAAAAAAACAUAUAUAGAAAAUAAAAUAUAUAUAAUUAAAAAAAAUAACAUAUCUUAAAUAGUUAACCUAUUAACGUAAUGGACAUUGAGAACACACAUAAAUAUAUUUUCAAAAUUUGAACUAACUAUUUAGUAAGAACACUUUAUUAUUUGAUCAAGAGAAAAUACAUCAAAUCUUCCCUAAACUUGGCACGAAAACUCGUUUUAGUACUUAAACUACACGGGUGUUUAUGGUUUGAUGUGAAUUAUUUUUAACCUUCCGAGCUCCAGCCCAGUUGAAGGCUGGCAUUGUUACACACGCGCCUUUUUAGUGGUCCACGUUGCCUAAGGAUUUAAAAAGUAUCUUACCCGUUCCCAAAAUACAACCCGGCCCACUUAUAAACAAAUAUUCCUAAAUCUUUAAGAUCCGUUUCCAAAUACAUCCCGACACACUUAUAAACAAAUAUCCCUAAAUACCCUAAGCUCGCGAUUCUCAUUCUUUCUCUUCUCUCAAACCUAGAAGAUCGAAUAUGAAGAUUUCUCUUCCAUUAGCGUGAAUGAGUUGUUGAUUUUAAGGUUUUCAUGAAAGAAGCAAAGGAUCGCGUGAAGAACAAAGUUACCAGGCAGAGGAAGAAGAAAUGGGAGAAGAAUAAAUACUAGUUCAACUAGGUCAAGUGUUGGCUUUUUUACAACAUCAACUGAAUCACAAUCAAGCACAAAGAGAGGAAGAGGUCGACCAAGAGGUUCUACAAAACAGGCUAGUGCUACUAGAAGGGGAAGGAACUGAAACUGGUUUAGCUGGAACUGGAAGGGGAAGAGGAACUACAACUGGAUCUGUUAAUGAAACAAGGAUUAGUGGUGCUGUCAAUGGUUUUGGUCCUACUGGAACGGGUAGAGGAACUGGAACUGAUAUUGUUGGAAGGGGAAGAGGAACUGCAACUAGUGUAGCUCGAAUGGGAAGAAGAAGAGGAACUGGUGUAGCUGCUACUGCUACAGAUAUUCCUGGUGCUACUAGAGGAGUGAAGAGGCCAAGAAUUGUCGGAAUGAGGAUUCUACAUACACAGAGUGGUUUUAAAAUCCACAAUCCUGGAUGCCUAUGAACUCUUCAAUAGUGACCGGAAAUCUUGGGCAUCAUAAACCAUGAUCAGGAUUAAAAUGGAGUGGAAAGGAUGUUGUAACUCAAUAAGGUCUUCAAGAGAUGAGAGAAAACAAAAAAAGGAGAACAAGGUCUAAUGCAUAUGAUGUUUGAUAUGGAGACUGCUUUAGUUUGAUAUUUUAGCUGUUUUUGAAAUAAUUAUGUUGUUGUCACUGCUUUAGAUUGAUAUUUUAUCUGUUUUGUGAACAAUUAUGCAGUUGUGACUGCAUUAAUUUGAUCUAUGUUUGUUUUUGAAAUAAUUAUGUUGCAGCUGUGACUGCGUUAGUUUGAUCUAUGUUUGAAACAAUUAUGCAGUUGUAACUGCUGCAUUAGUUUGUUAUUUUAGUUGUCUCUUUUUGAAACAAUUGUGCAACCAGUUUUGCAUUAAUUUUACACAUACAAUUAUGCAGUUGUGACUGCAAUAAUGUCAAUGCAGUUAUAAAUAAAAUACAAACGAAGUACAUAAAUCAACAAAUUGCAUUAACAUAAUAAGAAGAAUACACAGUUCAUUACAAAAGAGUUUUGCACCUAAUUGAUUACAACAUUUACAGUGUUACACUACUCCAACAUUGAUCUCACUACAUCAAGAGCUUAAGGUAACUUCAUUGAACCUUUCUUCUUAUACAUCACCCAAAAACAAUAGCUUAUAUGCUAUUACCAUAACACAACAACAAGCGACAAACAAAAAGAGCACUUUCUGACAUGUUCUUCGCAAUCUAUUCUGCAUUACUUUCAUCUUCUCAACCUCUUCUUCCAACAUUUUUAAUUUCAUUCCUAGACAAUCAUCAUCUUGUUUGAAAUCUCCCGGCUUGUCAACUUCUUCAUUAUCCUCAACCAAUUCAAAUGCAGUGGCUGAGGUUUGAGAUGAUUCUACUAUAUUCUCAAGCUCACCCAAUUUCUGUAUUAGUUUAAGAAUCACAAAUUUUGACCUCGAAUCAAUAUUCUCUUUAUCCUUUCAACACCAAAAGUUGCAAGAUCUAGGACCCUUCAAUAAUGAAAAAGGAUGAUGGAAUUAGUAAUCAAACUCUUAAUCGACUAAAAUUAAACAAAAAUUAUGUUUACCCAUAAUAAGGACAUGACCAAUAUCUUCUUUCGCGGUUUUUGGAAGUCCAAGAUGUUUUCAAACGCACAACUAGUCCAUGAUUACAAUAAAUAUUUUUUUUCGUAGUAUAAUUAUCUUCUUCCAUACAAAGAUUUGUCAAAUUAAUUGAUCGCAUUGUGUUCUACAAUUUUGUGCAAGAAGUAACAAGAAUCUGGAAAAAACCCAGAUAAUAAGAAAAAGGGACGAAAUAAAAAUAAAAAUAAAAAUAAUAGAUAAAUAAGAAUAGGUUUGAAGCUUACAUUUUGAAGAACAAUUAUUUCUUCAAAGAUUCAACUUUUAGGUUUGAAGAGCUAAGAUUUGAGAAAAUAAAGAAAAAAAAGCAUGAAUUAGGUCAACAUUUUUGGAUGAUUGGGUUAGUGAGGUGAAGAGGAAAUUAGAGUUCUACAAAAGAGAAGAUUUACAUUCAAAUAUGUAAUGGGUCGAAUAUUACCGUUAGAGGGUCAAAUUUUACUUUUAAAAAAUGCUAAAAGAUGAAUUACACCAUACAAAGCUGUAUCAACACGCGCAGGAGGUUGGAGCUCGAAAGAUUAAAAAUAAUUCACAUUAAACAUGUUAAGGAGGGUAUAUAAACACCCGUGUAGUUACUAAAGCGAGUUUUCAUGCCAUGUUCAGAGGGAAUUUGAUCAAUUAUAAUAAGAGUCAAAUACAUAGUUAGCCUCUCUAACUUGUCUUUAUUUUUUAUUUUGGC
Solanum lycopersicum (tomato) is the source of this 3102-nucleotide long non-coding RNA. RefSeq lists it as uncharacterized. NCBI's taxonomy places the organism in Eukaryota, Viridiplantae, Streptophyta, Magnoliopsida, Solanales, Solanaceae. The record is from RefSeq and is a predicted model, not a curated record.